GAUGAACGCUGGCGGCGUGCUUAACACAUGCAAGUCGAACGGGAAACCUUUUAUUGAAGCUUCGGCAGAUUUAGCUGGUUUCUAGUGGCGGACGGGUGAGUAACGCGUGGGUAACCUGCCUUAUACAGGGGGAUAACAGUCAGAAAUGGCUGCUAAUACCGCAUAAGCGCACAGAGCCGCAUGGCUCAGUGUGAAAAACUCCGGUGGUAUAAGAUGGACCCGCGUUGGAUUAGCUGGUUGGUGGGGUAACGGCCCACCAAGGCGACGAUCCAUAGCCGGCCUGAGAGGGUGAACGGCCACAUUGGGACUGAGACACGGCCCAGACUCCUACGGGAGGCAGCAGUGGGGAAUAUUGCACAAUGGGGGAAACCCUGAUGCAGCGACGCCGCGUGAAGGAAGAAGUAUCUCGGUAUGUAAACUUCUAUCAGCAGGGAAGAUAAUGACGGUACCUGACUAAGAAGCCCCGGCUAACUACGUG
Molecule: ribosomal RNA, 478 nt
Filed under: uncultured bacterium
Lineage: Bacteria
Description: partial 16S ribosomal RNA
Rfam family: Bacterial small subunit ribosomal RNA
Source: RNAcentral